Molecule: long non-coding RNA, 865 nt
Filed under: Equus asinus (donkey)
Lineage: Eukaryota; Metazoa; Chordata; Mammalia; Perissodactyla; Equidae
Description: lncRNA (ENSEASG00005033286.1)
Source: RNAcentral
GCCUAACCCCAUCAUCACCACCACCACCUCUCAGCCUUCCUGUGUGCGCGAUGUCUUCCAGAUUCCGGUAGAUGUUAGCACCGCAUUCAGGAGAAGCAGCAUCUCCAGCUCUGACUCCAAAGAAAGCCAAGGAACACGGGUCUUGCAGCAGGACAGGACUGCCAGAGGCACGCGGUCUAGACAAGAAGGGCCUAGAGAAAAGUCUCCUCUGGAAGCAGCGUCUUAAUGGAGUGUGACUACCCUGUGCGAUAUCCUCUGCGAUCAUCUCCUCUGCUACUCUCCUGAAGAGGAAAAUUCAAAAUAAAAAGCUGCAUAAACAUGAUAUUAUAGUAUACUACAGUUCCUUUAUAACUUUUGAUAAAUUUCUUCUUCCCCUUAGUUUAUUUUCUUGCUCCAAUAGUUUCAAAAUUCUUUUUAAAUUCCUCUAAUCAUGUGCUUCUCAAAAUGUGGUUCCCAGACUAGCAGCAUUGACAUCAUCAGAGGACUUGUUAGAAGCAUGACCUAUCAGCCACCCCAGAUUACACAAUCUGACACUUGGCGGGCUGCCUGGCCAGCGGUGAGGUUACAAGCCCUCCAGGGGAUUCUGAAGCACCUCAAGUUUUAACACCACUGCUCUAACCAUCCUCCCUUUUCUUAGCCAUGACCUUUUUAAGUAUAAUAUGUAUUAGUAGGGGCUACAAAUUUGCUGAGUCGCCUUCCUUUCCCUUACUCUAACCUUCCAGUCACCACUCUGCUUGGAUUCUUUCCUCAGCAAAUUUCUCUCAACAUUUUCUCUCCCAUCUUGGAAUGCCACUGCUCCUUCCUAGAUCAGCGACUGGAGUUUGCGGUCCUUUUCCAUCUAUCUGGCAAUUGUCAACACGCCCUA